RNAcentral lists this long non-coding RNA (870 nucleotides) under Salmo salar (Atlantic salmon). Its description in RNAcentral is "lncRNA (ENSSSAG00000095491.1)". The record is from RNAcentral. Lineage: Eukaryota; Metazoa; Chordata; Actinopteri; Salmoniformes; Salmonidae.
UUAACACUAGGUACACACCCUGUAUGGUAGGGGUUAGGGUUAGAGUUAACACUAGGUACACACCCUGUAUGGUAGGGGUUAGGGUUAACACUAGGUACACAUCCUGUAUGGUAGGGGUUAGGGUUAGAGUUAACACUAGGUACACACCCUGUAUGGUAGGGGUUAGGGUUAACACUAGGUACACAUCCUGUAUGGUAGGGGUUAGAGUAAACACUAGGUACACACCCUGUAUGGUAGGGGUUAGAGUUAACACUAGGUACACACCCUGUAUGGUAGGGGUUAGGGUUAACACUAGGUACACAUCCUGUAUGGUAGGGGUUAGAGUUAACACUAGGUACACAUCCUGUAUGGUAGGGGUUAGAGUUAACACUAGGUACACACCCUGUAUGGUAGGGGUUAGGGUUAACACUAGGUACACAUCCUGUAUGGUAGGGGUUAGAGUUAACACUAGGUACACACCCUGUAUGGUAGGGGUUAGGGUUAGAGUUAACACUAGGUACACACCCUGUAUGGUAGGGGUUAGAGUUAACACUAGGUACACAUCCUGUAUGGUAGGGGUUAUAGUUAACACUAGGUACACAUCCUGUAUGGUAGGGGUUAUAGUUAACACUAGGUACACAUCCUGUAUGGUAGGGGUUAUAGUUAACACUAGGUACACAUCCUGUAUGGUAGGGGUUAUAGUUAACACUAGGUACACACCCUGUAUGGUAGGGGUUAUAGUUAACACUAGGUACACAUCCUGUAUGGUAGGGGUUAUAGUUAACACUAGGUACACAUCCUGUAUGGUAGGGGUUAGGGUUAACACUAGGUACACAUCCUGUAUGGUAGGGGUUAGAGUUAACACUAGGUACACAUCCUGUAUGGUAGGGG